AGCGAAUAGAUACCCGGGUAGUCCACGCUGUAAACGAUGGAUACUUGUUGUUAGAGGUAUUGACCCCUCUAGUGACGUAGCUAAACGCGAUAAGUAUCCCGCCUGGGGAGUACGGUCGCAAGAUUAAACUCAAAGAAAUUGACGGGGCCCGCACAAGCGGUGGAGCAUGUGGUUUAAAUUCGAUGCAACGCGAAGAACCUUACCUAGGCUUGACAUGAACUGGAAGGGUGGCAGAAACGCCCCGCCCGCAAGGUCGGUUCACAGGUGCUGCAUGGCUGUCGUCAGCUCGUGUCGUGAGAUGUUGGG
Molecule: ribosomal RNA, 306 nt
Filed under: uncultured bacterium
Lineage: Bacteria
Description: bacterial SSU rRNA
Rfam family: Bacterial small subunit ribosomal RNA
Source: RNAcentral